Molecule: long non-coding RNA, 629 nt
Organism: Dendrobium catenatum
Lineage: Eukaryota; Viridiplantae; Streptophyta; Magnoliopsida; Asparagales; Orchidaceae
Exons: 2
Source: RefSeq, a predicted model, not a curated record
UUCAUCUCUUCUUCCAAAAAGAAAAAAAAAAAAAAAGCAAGGGUAGGCUGAUGGCGUUUUUUAUGGUUGCGGGCUCGGAACCCCAAACCGAUAGACAAAGGGAGGACUUGUAUGCCAUUGCUGCCCUCAACGAGUCUGCUGUGAUAGAACUCAAGGAGCGGAGCAAUUAGUAUGCGAAAAUGGGGAAGAGGCUUUACUCGGAUGCUAUCGCUUGCUGCAUCAGGGCAAUCAGUCAGAAUUCCUUGAGCGAUUCAGAUAAGUGGGUCCUUUUUUCUAAUCUUGCCCAUGUGAAUUUUAUGUUAGGAAAUUACAGAUGCGGAAGAGGCAAUCAAACUCUGCUCGACCAAUGUUAAGGUUGAUAUUCUGCUUCAAUUUCUCAAAGGAGCUCAUUUGGUUGCUUGUAGUUUGAAAUUAUGUUUUCACUCGUUUGGAGUGCGAAAAAUGCAAUGUGCAACUUUUGCUGAGUUAUACGGAGGUUUCUAGUGUUUGAAAUUAAUUGUAAUUUCUAUUUCUAUGAAGCCAAAUGAUGCAUUCUUUAUUGUUUUGAAAAACCUAUUUUGGAAUUCAAGCAUCCAAAUGAGCUGUAACUGCUAGAUUUGUCUGUGAAUGAAUUCUGGAUCUUACCAGUA